GCUAACGUGGCUCAAUGGUAGAGCAGCGCAUUCGUAAUGCGCAGGUUGGAGGUUCGAUUCCUCUCGUUAGCUCCA
Molecule: transfer RNA, 75 nt
Filed under: Eubacteriales Family XIII. Incertae Sedis bacterium
Lineage: Bacteria; Bacillati; Bacillota; Clostridia; Peptostreptococcales; Anaerovoracaceae
Description: tRNA-Thr
Rfam family: tRNA
About the family: Transfer RNA (tRNA) molecules are approximately 80 nucleotides in length.
Source: RNAcentral